GACGAACGCUGGCGGCGUGCUUAACACAUGCAAGUCGAACGGAAAGGCCCUGCUUUUGUGGGGUGCUCGAGUGGCGAACGGGUGAGUAACACGUGAGUAACCUGCCCUUGACUUUGGGAUAACUUCAGGAAACUGGGGCUAAUACCGGAUAGGAGCUCCUGCUGCAUGGUGGGGGUUGGAAAGUUUCGGCGGUUGGGGAUGGACUCGCGGCUUAUCAGCUUGUUGGUGGGGUAGUGGCUUACCAAGGCUUUGACGGGUAGCCGGCCUGAGAGGGUGACCGGCCACAUUGGGACUGAGAUACGGCCCAGAAUCCUACGGGAGGCAGCAGGGGGGAAUAUGGCACAAUGGGCGGAAGCCUGAUGCAGCAACGCCGCGUGCGGGAUGACGGCCUUCGGGUUGUAAACCGCUUUCGCCUGUGACGAAGCGUGAGUGACGGUAAUGGGUAAAGAAGCACCGGCUAACUACGUG
RNAcentral lists this ribosomal RNA (468 nucleotides) under uncultured bacterium. RNAcentral's name for it is "partial 16S ribosomal RNA". It matches the Rfam family "Bacterial small subunit ribosomal RNA", at positions 28 to 507 of the family's 1533-position model. The record is from RNAcentral.